GGGGUUACUCCCUGUACCUCCCCAAUUUCAACCCCCACCCCCAUUCCAUUUUUACCCUUUGCUCUAUUUUUUCUAUUCCAAUUUUAUCCUUUAGCAAAAAUUUAUAUUUAGAAAUAAAAUUUUAUAAUUUUAUUCUCCCACCCCCACAUAACCUAUUUAUUCUUUUUUUUUUAUCUUCAUGCUUUCAUCUUUACGCUUUCUUCCCAGGAAUUCUUUGUUCUAUUUUUCUAGAAAUUCUUUCUCCCAUUCUUCUUGUAUUUCAAGUGAUAAUUGAGAUAUCGAUUUCUUUUGAAAGAAUUUGUCCUUGAAUUAUUAUAUCUCUGCAUUACAUUGGUGUGGUGGUGUUGUAUCCAACCUUUAAGCAGUGAUCCUCUUCGAGUCGAGGUUAGUAAUACCUUCGUAAAACCGUUAAAACGGAUGGCGACUUCCAUUUACCCUUAAACGGAUGUUGACAUCCGUUAACGGAUUCCCACAUCCGUUUAAGCGUUUUCUAGAUUAUUUUAGAUUAUGUUUUUGUUAGUUUUAUUUUUUAAGAUUUGUGUUUAUUAGUUUUAUUUUUUAAGAUUUGUUUUUAUUAGUUUAUUUUUUAGGAUUUGUUUUUAUUAGUUUUAUUUUUUUAAGAUUUAUAUUUUAAGAUUUGUUUUUAUUAGUUUUAUUUUUUAGGAUUUGUUUUUAUUAGAUUUUUAUUUUAUUAGUUUUAUUUUUUAAGAUUUGUUUUUAUUAGUUUUAUUUUUUAGGAUUUGUUUUUAUUAGAUUUUAUUUUUUAGGAUUUGUUUUUAUUAGUUUUAUUUUUUUAAGAUUUAUAUUUUAAGAUUUGUUUUUAUUAGUUUUAUUUUUUAGGAUUUGUUUUUAUUAGAUUUUUAUUUUAUUAGUUUUAUUUU
RNAcentral lists this long non-coding RNA (881 nucleotides) under Vigna radiata. RNAcentral's name for it is "long non-coding RNA (VRAD_LNC015441)". The record is from RNAcentral. Lineage: Eukaryota; Viridiplantae; Streptophyta; Magnoliopsida; Fabales; Fabaceae.